GACGAACGCUGGCGGCGUGCUUAACACAUGCAAGUCGAACGGAAAGGCCCUGCUUGCAGGGUACUCGAGUGGCGAACGGGUGAGUAACACGUGGGUGAUCUGCCCUGCACUUCGGGAUAAGCCUGGGAAACUGGGUCUAAUACCGGAUAGGAGCCAUUUUUAGUGUGAUGGUUGGAAAGUUUUUUCGGUGUAGGAUGAGCUCGCGGCCUAUCAGCUUGUUGGUGGGGUAAUGGCCUACCAAGGCGGCGACGGGUAGCCGGCCUGAGAGGGUGGACGGCCACAUUGGGACUGAGAUACGGCCCAGACUCCUACGGGAGGCAGCAGUGGGGAAUAUUGCACAAUGGGCGCAAGCCUGAUGCAGCGACGCCGCGUGGGGGAUGACGGCCUUCGGGUUGUAAACUCCUUUCGCUAGGACGAAGCUUUUUGUGACGGUACCUAGAUAAGAAGCACCGGCUAACUACGUG
This 464-nucleotide ribosomal RNA is filed under the name uncultured bacterium. Its description in RNAcentral is "partial 16S ribosomal RNA". It matches the Rfam family "Bacterial small subunit ribosomal RNA", at positions 28 to 507 of the family's 1533-position model. The record is from RNAcentral.